GACGAACGCUGGCGGCGUGCUUAACACAUGCAAGUCGAGCGGUAAGGCCCCUUCGGGGGUACACGAGCGGCGAACGGGUGAGUAACCCGUGGGUGACCUGCCCUCAGCUCUGGGAUAAGCCCGGGAAACUGGGUCUAAUACUGGAUAUGACCCCAUGACGCAUGUUGUGGGGUGGAAAGCCUUGUGCGGCUGAGGAUGGGCCCGCGGCCUAUCAGCUUGUUGGUGGGGUGAUGGCCUACCAAGGCGACGACGGGUAGCCGGCCUGAGAGGGCGACCGGCCACACUGGGACUGAGACACGGCCCAGACUCCUACGGGAGGCAGCAGUGGGGAAUCUUGCGCAAUGGGCGAAAGCCUGACGCAGCGACGCCGCGUGAGGGAUGACGGCCU
RNAcentral lists this ribosomal RNA (388 nucleotides) under uncultured bacterium. RNAcentral describes it as "bacterial SSU rRNA". It matches the Rfam family "Bacterial small subunit ribosomal RNA", at positions 28 to 417 of the family's 1533-position model. The record is from RNAcentral.